This 2241-nucleotide ribosomal RNA is filed under the name Escherichia coli. Its description in RNAcentral is "partial 23S ribosomal RNA". It matches the Rfam family "Bacterial large subunit ribosomal RNA", at positions 572 to 2798 of the family's 2925-position model. The record is from RNAcentral. Lineage: Bacteria; Pseudomonadati; Pseudomonadota; Gammaproteobacteria; Enterobacterales; Enterobacteriaceae.
AGUGGGAGCACGCUUAGGCGUGUGACUGCGUACCUUUUGUAUAAUGGGUCAGCGACUUAUAUUCUGUAGCAAGGUUAACCGAAUAGGGGAGCCGAAGGGAAACCGAGUCUUAACUGGGCGUUAAGUUGCAGGGUAUAGACCCGAAACCCGGUGAUCUAGCCAUGGGCAGGUUGAAGGUUGGGUAACACUAACUGGAGGACCGAACCGACUAAUGUUGAAAAAUUAGCGGAUGACUUGUGGCUGGGGGUGAAAGGCCAAUCAAACCGGGAGAUAGCUGGUUCUCCCCGAAAGCUAUUUAGGUAGCGCCUCGUGAAUUCAUCUCCGGGGGUAGAGCACUGUUUCGGCAAGGGGGUCAUCCCGACUUACCAACCCGAUGCAAACUGCGAAUACCGGAGAAUGUUAUCACGGGAGACACACGGCGGGUGCUAACGUCCGUCGUGAAGAGGGAAACAACCCAGACCGCCAGCUAAGGUCCCAAAGUCAUGGUUAAGUGGGAAACGAUGUGGGAAGGCCCAGACAGCCAGGAUGUUGGCUUAGAAGCAGCCAUCAUUUAAAGAAAGCGUAAUAGCUCACUGGUCGAGUCGGCCUGCGCGGAAGAUGUAACGGGGCUAAACCAUGCACCGAAGCUGCGGCAGCGACGCUUAUGCGUUGUUGGGUAGGGGAGCGUUCUGUAAGCCUGUGAAGGUGUGCUGUGAGGCAUGCUGGAGGUAUCAGAAGUGCGAAUGCUGACAUAAGUAACGAUAAAGCGGGUGAAAAGCCCGCUCGCCGGAAGACCAAGGGUUCCUGUCCAACGUUAAUCGGGGCAGGGUGAGUCGACCCCUAAGGCGAGGCCGAAAGGCGUAGUCGAUGGGAAACAGGUUAAUAUUCCUGUACUUGGUGUUACUGCGAAGGGGGGACGGAGAAGGCUAUGUUGGCCGGGCGACGGUUGUCCCGGUUUAAGCGUGUAGGCUGGUUUUCCAGGCAAAUCCGGAAAAUCAAGGCUGAGGCGUGAUGACGAGGCACUACGGUGCUGAAGCAACAAAUGCCCUGCUUCCAGGAAAAGCCUCUAAGCAUCAGGUAACAUCAAAUCGUACCCCAAACCGACACAGGUGGUCAGGUAGAGAAUACCAAGGCGCUUGAGAGAACUCGGGUGAAGGAACUAGGCAAAAUGGUGCCGUAACUUCGGGAGAAGGCACGCUGAUAUGUAGGUGAAGUCCCUCGCGGAUGGAGCUGAAAUCAGUCGAAGAUACCAGCUGGCUGCAACUGUUUAUUAAAAACACAGCACUGUGCAAACACGAAAGUGGACGUAUACGGUGUGACGCCUGCCCGGUGCCGGAAGGUUAAUUGAUGGGGUCAGCGCAAGCGAAGCUCUUGAUCGAAGCCCCGGUAAACGGCGGCCGUAACUAUAACGGUCCUAAGGUAGCGAAAUUCCUUGUCGGGUAAGUUCCGACCUGCACGAAUGGCGUAAUGAUGGCCAGGCUGUCUCCACCCGAGACUCAGUGAAAUUGAACUCGCUGUGAAGAUGCAGUGUACCCGCGGCAAGACGGAAAGACCCCGUGAACCUUUACUAUAGCUUGACACUGAACAUUGAGCCUUGAUGUGUAGGAUAGGUGGGAGGCUUAGAAGUGUGGACGCCAGUCUGCAUGGAGCCGACCUUGAAAUACCACCCUUUAAUGUUUGAUGUUCUAACGUUGACCCGUAAUCCGGGUUGCGGACAGUGUCUGGUGGGUAGUUUGACUGGGGCGGUCUCCUCCUAAAGAGUAACGGAGGAGCACGAAGGUUGGCUAAUCCUGGUCGGACAUCAGGAGGUUAGUGCAAUGGCAUAAGCCAGCUUGACUGCGAGCGUGACGGCGCGAGCAGGUGCGAAAGCAGGUCAUAGUGAUCCGGUGGUUCUGAAUGGAAGGGCCAUCGCUCAACGGAUAAAAGGUACUCCGGGGAUAACAGGCUGAUACCGCCCAAGAGUUCAUAUCGACGGCGGUGUUUGGCACCUCGAUGUCGGCUCAUCACAUCCUGGGGCUGAAGUAGGUCCCAAGGGUAUGGCUGUUCGCCAUUUAAAGUGGUACGCGAGCUGGGUUUAGAACGUCGUGAGACAGUUCGGUCCCUAUCUGCCGUGGGCGCUGGAGAACUGAGGGGGGCUGCUCCUAGUACGAGAGGACCGGAGUGGACGCAUCACUGGUGUUCGGGUUGUCAUGCCAAUGGCACUGCCCGGUAGCUAAAUGCGGAAGAGAUAAGUGCUGAAAGCAUCUAAGCACGAAACUUGCC